UCUGAAUCUGCGNACGGCUCCGCAAACCAGUUGUAAACUAUAGCAAGCAUGCUCGGGAUUUGGCCCUCACGGGUUGGGUUUCGGGUGAUAAGGAUAACCCUGGUAAUUCUGAGGCUAAUACUAGAACGCAAAAACUUGACUGACCGGUUUUACUGGGAGGUUGGGGGGCGUGCAAGUGGGUUUCGCAUAGGAUAACCGGGAAGGGGUGCACGUUUGGACCGCGAUAAAGACAGACUGGUUUCGGCCGGCCUGAGCGGCACUUGCGUUGUGCUUCUGACCUAUCAACUAGAUGGCAGCGUAACGGACAUGCUAUGGUGCAACGGGUACA
This 328-nucleotide ribosomal RNA is filed under the name uncultured myxomycete. RNAcentral describes it as "bacterial SSU rRNA". It matches the Rfam family "Eukaryotic small subunit ribosomal RNA", at positions 80 to 364 of the family's 1831-position model. The record is from RNAcentral. Lineage: Eukaryota; Evosea; Eumycetozoa.